UUCCCAAAUUUUCUCCUUUCCCCCAAAUUUUAUAAAAAAACCCUAACUUCCCCCAUAUUUCUAUUCGAAUAUGUUUAGAGUUCACGAUUCUCUUCCCCAAAUUUCCUCUUUUCCCCCAAAGACUUCACGAUCUUCUCUUCCAUCUGCUCGCAAGCCCUCAUUCAUCGCAAGUUGCUGCUGAAGAUUGGUUGGGUUCGUCCGCCGCUGAAGACUUGUUGCAUUCGUCCACCAUUGAAGACUUGUUGGGUUCAUCCGCCGCUCAAGGAAUGUUGUGUUUGUCCGCCAUAGUUCAAAAGUUCGUUGCGCACUUUCUCUGUUUGCAACAGGUUCGGACUGAAGAUUUGUUGCGUUCGUCAGCCGCUCAAGGAAAGUUGUGUUCGUCCGCCGUAGUUCAGAAAUUUAUCAUGCACCGUUUCAGCUUGCAACAGAACACUUUGGGCAUCAACCAGAACAUUUAAAACCAGAAUUGCUGUCUAAUGGUCGUGAACCUUGCUUUCGCUAUCCAAUUAUCGUUGUCGGUAUGUUUGGAGUUGGGGCAAUGGAAAUAGCAUAUGCAGAGCUGAAGAGAUAUUGUCUUUCUCAAAUGCGUUUCAUAGGGGUUCAAGUUUAUGUUCACAACUUCAUGGAAGGAGAAAGAAUGAUGAGAAUCUUCAACUACAAAACCCGAAAGCAUAAAUGUAUUUCAAGAAGUUGAUGAUAACAAUCGUGAGACUUUGAGUUUGGAGUUAUCUAAGAGUGUGGGGCUUGGAGGAGGGUGAUGUCUUUGUUUCUUAUUAUUACAUAUACUUUGUGUUUUAUGAUUAAGAAUGAUGAUCAUAACUUGUUUUGUAAUAUGAAUAAGAACGAUGUUCCUAAUUAGUUGUAAGUAUGUAAUGAUCAACUAUAUGUAUAUUCAAGGAUAUAUAUGCAAUUUGUUAGUUCUUUGAUUGAAA
This is a long non-coding RNA of Cucumis melo (muskmelon), 932 nucleotides long. RefSeq lists it as uncharacterized. The transcript has 4 exons. Lineage: Eukaryota; Viridiplantae; Streptophyta; Magnoliopsida; Cucurbitales; Cucurbitaceae. The record is from RefSeq and is a predicted model, not a curated record.